UUGUUCCAAGUUAGGCAAAAGAUGUAAACUUACAGAUUCAGGAAGCUGAGCAAACUCCAAACAGGAUGAACCCAAAGAAAUUCACACCAAAACACAUCAUAAUUAAAAUUUUGAAAACUAAAGA
Ceratotherium simum simum (southern white rhinoceros) is the source of this 124-nucleotide non-coding RNA. Lineage: Eukaryota; Metazoa; Chordata; Mammalia; Perissodactyla; Rhinocerotidae. The record is from RefSeq and is a predicted model, not a curated record.